Molecule: small RNA, 330 nt
Filed under: Desulfocapsa sulfexigens DSM 10523
Lineage: Bacteria; Pseudomonadati; Thermodesulfobacteriota; Desulfobulbia; Desulfobulbales; Desulfocapsaceae
Description: cspA thermoregulator
Rfam family: cspA thermoregulator
Source: Rfam by way of RNAcentral
ACCGGAUCGUAUUUAGACGAUCCGGCUCUAUUACAAAAAGGUUCUUAAAUGAACCAGCACAAAGGAGUAGUACACAAUGGCCGAAGGAACAGUUAAAUGGUUUAAUGAUUCAAAAGGUUUUGGUUUUAUAGAAGAAAAUGGUGGAAAGGAUGUCUUUGUUCAUCAUUCAGCAAUUCAGGGCGACGGUUUCAAGUCUCUCGACGAAGGUGCACGAGUAACCUUUGACAUUGUCGAUGGCCCUAAAGGACCAGCUGCAGAGAAUGUUGUCAAACAGUAACACAUUUCUUUGACAGGAGAGCAAAAGACCUCGCUAAAUGCAAGGCCUUUUGC